GAUGAACGCUGGCGGCGUGCCUAAUACAUGCAAGUCGAGCGAACAGAUGAGGAGCUUGCUCCUCUGACGUUAGCGGCGGACGGGUGAGUAACACGUGGAUAACAUACCUAUAAGACUGGGAUAACUUCGGGAAACCGGAGCUAAUACCGGAUAAUAUAUUGAACCGCAUGGUUCAAUAGUGAAAGACGGUUUUGCUGUCACUUAUAGAUGGAUCCGCGCCGCAUUAGCUAGUUGGUAAGGUAACGGCUUACCAAGGCAACGAUGCGUAGCCGACCUGAGAGGGUGAUCGGCCACACUGGAACUGAGACACGGUCCAGACUCCUACGGGAGGCAGCAGUAGGGAAUCUUCCGCAAUGGGCGAAAGCCUGACGAAGCAACGCCGCGUGAGUGAUGAAGGUCUUCGGAUCGUAAAACUCUGUUAUUAGGGAAGAACAAAUGUGUAAGUAACUAUGCACGUCUUGACGGUACCUAAUCAGAAAGCCACGGCUAACUACGUG
Molecule: ribosomal RNA, 497 nt
Filed under: uncultured bacterium
Lineage: Bacteria
Description: partial 16S ribosomal RNA
Rfam family: Bacterial small subunit ribosomal RNA
Source: RNAcentral